Transfer RNA from Ovis aries (sheep), 72 nucleotides. It matches the Rfam family "tRNA". From Rfam's summary of the family: Transfer RNA (tRNA) molecules are approximately 80 nucleotides in length. Their secondary structure includes four short double-helical elements and three loops (D, anti-codon, and T loops). Lineage: Eukaryota; Metazoa; Chordata; Mammalia; Artiodactyla; Bovidae. The record is from Rfam.
UCCCUGGUGGCUCAGAUGGUACAGCGUCUGUCUACAAUGCAGGAGACCCGGGUUCAGUCCCUGGGUUGGGAA